GAGUAACGCGUGAGAAUCUGGCUUUAGGUCUGGGACAACCAUUGGAAACGGUGGCUAAUACCGGAUGUGCCGAAAGGUGAAAGGCUUGCUGCCUAAAGAUGAGCUCGCGUCUGAUUAGCUAGUAGGUGGGGUAAAAGCCUACCUAGGCGACGAUCAGUAGCUGGUCUGAGAGGAUGAUCAGCCACACUGGGACUGAGACACGGCCCAGACUCCUACGGGAGGCAGCAGUGGGGAAUUUUCCGCAAUGGGCGAAAGCCUGACGGAGCAAUACCGCGUGAGGGAGGAAGGCUCUUGGGUUGUAAACCUCUUUUCUCAAGGAAGAAAAAAAUGACGGUACUUGAGGAAUCAGCAUCGGCUAACUCCGUGCCAGCAGCCGCGGUAAUACGGAGGAUGCAAGCGUUAUCCGGAAUGAUUGGGCGUAAAGCGUCCGCAGGUGGCUGUGUAAGUCUGCUGUUAAAGAGCAAAGCUCAACUUUGUAAGAGCAGUGGAAACUACACGGCUAGAGUGCGUUCGGGGCAGAGGGAAUUCCUGGUGUAGCGGUGAAAUGCGUAGAGAUCAGGAAGAACACCGGUGGCGAAGGCGCUCUGCUAGGCCGCAAACUGACACUGAG
RNAcentral lists this ribosomal RNA (610 nucleotides) under Fortiea sp. LEGE XX443. RNAcentral's name for it is "bacterial SSU rRNA". It matches the Rfam family "Bacterial small subunit ribosomal RNA", at positions 108 to 750 of the family's 1533-position model. Lineage: Bacteria; Bacillati; Cyanobacteriota; Cyanophyceae; Nostocales; Fortieaceae. The record is from RNAcentral.